UUGCACCCGGGAUGGUAGCGAAAAGCCCGGAACAAAAAAAUGCCAAUUUUCUCAAGCCAAAAAAGCGACCAACGGAAGCUCUUUUUGGGUUGUAAAAAAUGGCAUUUUUUGUGAGGACUUGCAGCGAACAGCCCGAAUUGGG
This 142-nucleotide small RNA is filed under the name Flavobacterium lacus. RNAcentral describes it as "Flavo-1 RNA". The record is from RNAcentral. Lineage: Bacteria; Pseudomonadati; Bacteroidota; Flavobacteriia; Flavobacteriales; Flavobacteriaceae.